This 287-nucleotide ribosomal RNA is filed under the name uncultured bacterium. RNAcentral's name for it is "partial 16S ribosomal RNA". It matches the Rfam family "Bacterial small subunit ribosomal RNA", at positions 773 to 1060 of the family's 1533-position model. The record is from RNAcentral.
GUGGAUUAGAUACCCUGGUAGUCCACGCCGUAAACGAUGGAUACUAGGUGUAGGAGGUAUCGACCCCUUCUGUGCCGGAGUAAACACAAUAAGUAUCCCACCUGGGGAGUACGGCCGCAAGGUUGAAACUCAAAGGAAUUGACGGGGGCCCGCACAAGCAGUGGAGUAUGUGGUUUAAUUCGAAGCAACGCGAAGAACCUUACCAGGGCUUGACAUCCCGCUGACAGGUAUAGAGAUAUACCCUUCUUCGGACAGCGGUGACAGGUGGUGCACGGCCGUCGACAACU